This 325-nucleotide ribosomal RNA is filed under the name Klebsiella pneumoniae. RNAcentral's name for it is "partial 23S ribosomal RNA". It matches the Rfam family "Bacterial large subunit ribosomal RNA", at positions 1948 to 2272 of the family's 2925-position model. Lineage: Bacteria; Pseudomonadati; Pseudomonadota; Gammaproteobacteria; Enterobacterales; Enterobacteriaceae. The record is from RNAcentral.
GUCCUAAGGUAGCGAAAUUCCUUGUCGGGUAAGUUCCGACCCGCACGAAAGGCGUAACGAUUUGGGCACUGUCUCAACGAGAGACUCGGUGAAAUCAUAGUACCUGUGAAGAUGCAGGUUACCCGCGACAGGACGGAAAGACCCCGUGGAGCUUUACUGUAGCCUGAUAUUGAAAUUCGGCACAGCUUGUACAGGAUAGGUAGGAGCCUUUGAAACGUGAGCGCUAGCUUACGUGGAGGCGCUGGUGGGAUACUACCCUAGCUGUGUUGGCUUUCUAACCCGCACCACUUAUCGUGGUGGGAGACAGUGUCAGGCGGGCAGUUUG